GAUGAACGCUGGCGGCGUGCUUAACACAUGCCAGUCGAACGAUGAAGCAGUGAAACGCGAACUUCGGUUCAAGUCUCACUUCGGAUUAGUGGCAGACGGGUGAGUAACGCGUGAGCAACCUACCUCUCACAAAGGGAUAGCCUCGGGAAACCGUGAUUAAUACCAUAUGACACAUUCAUAAGGCAUCUUAAGAAUGUUAAAGCUACGGCGGUAAGGGAUGGGCUCGCGUCCCAUUGGCUUGCUGGUGAGGUAACGGCACGCCCAAGCGACGAGGGGUAGGGGACCCGGGCGGGGAGGGUGACAGGUUACAUUUGAGAUGCGGCACAGUCCCAAAUCCGACGGAAGGGUGGGGAAGGGAAUAUUGCACGAUGGAGGGAAAUCUGAUGACGCGACGCGGCGUGAGAGAUGAAGGAAUUCGUAUCGUAAAGCUCUGUUUUAUGGGAAGAAAAGGACGGUACCAUAGGAGAAAGCCCCGGCUAAAUACGUG
RNAcentral lists this ribosomal RNA (487 nucleotides) under uncultured bacterium. Its description in RNAcentral is "partial 16S ribosomal RNA". It matches the Rfam family "Bacterial small subunit ribosomal RNA", at positions 28 to 507 of the family's 1533-position model. The record is from RNAcentral.